Ochotona princeps (American pika) is the source of this 523-nucleotide long non-coding RNA. RefSeq lists it as uncharacterized. NCBI's taxonomy places the organism in Eukaryota, Metazoa, Chordata, Mammalia, Lagomorpha, Ochotonidae. The transcript is spliced from 3 exons. The record is from RefSeq and is a predicted model, not a curated record.
CCUCAACUGCUUUCCCAAGCCACAAGCAAGGAACUGGAUGAGAAGCUGGGCAGCUGGGAUUAAAACUGGCACCCAUAUGGGAUCCUGGAGUAUGCAAGGAUUUUAAAGAAAUAUAUAUCUCUGUGAAUCAUCCAAGCAGUUGUAUCUGGCUUUGUGUGUCGGAUCUGAAGUCAUUGGAGCUGUUCUCUGUGCAGUCAAGUUUUCCUCUGUGAGCUUUCUUCAAGGAGUUUAGAUUUUGGCUGAAGGCUCUGGGACAUUUUCUGAAUUCAGAAAGCCUCAUCUGAACAUGAGAAAAAAUGUGGAGUGAAUUUUUAGCUGAGUCACCAUGAAGGGCAUUGACGAACUCUUUGUUUAGAAGUGCACAGAGUGGAACAAGCUUGGCAAGCAGCAAGAGAUCAUAAAUGGCAGACACUGCGCUGGAGGGAAACACCAUACAGAGUGCUAAAACCUGGAUUCAGGGAUCACCAGGUAUACUGAUGAUCCCCAGGACUUCAGAAGGAUCAUGGAAUAUCAGGAAGUCUGA